Molecule: ribosomal RNA, 408 nt
Filed under: uncultured bacterium
Lineage: Bacteria
Description: partial 16S ribosomal RNA
Rfam family: Bacterial small subunit ribosomal RNA
Source: RNAcentral
GACGAACGCUGGCGGCGUGCUUAACACAUGCAAGUCGAACGGAGUGGCGAACGGGUGAGUAACACGUGUGUGACCUUCCCUGCACUUCGGGAUAAGCCUGGGAAACUGGUUCUAAUACCGGAAAGUGCGGGAUGGGCCCGCGGCCUAUCAGCUUGUUGGUGGGGUAAUGGCCUACCAAGGCGGCGACGGGUAGCCGGCCUGAGUGGGUGGACGGCCAAAUUGGGACUGAGACACGGCCCAGAAUGCUACGGGAGGCAGCAGGGGGGAAUAUUACGCAAUGGGCGGAAGCCUGAUGAAGCGACGCCGCGUGGGGGAUGACGGCCUUCGGGUUGUAAACUCCUUUCACCAUAGACGCGGUAGAUGGAGAAGAAGCACCGGCUAACUACGUGCCAGCAGCCGCGGUAAUAC